CACGUGUCAACCGGGUCGUAUCGCUGUCAGGGUGUUGGCGACGAGCAUCUGUAGUAUCUAAACUGAGCUACGGCAAACGUGCCAUUGACGUCAACUAUACAGCAAUACAGAGCGUAAAUACCUGGAUCAAAGCUCUGCUAAGGUAAGCAGAGAUGAAAACAAGCUCAGAGUGUUUGGUCUCAAGCGGAGAUGAAGCUCCUACGCCUGCCUCCUCCUCCUCCUGCUCUUCACGGUGUCAUGAGUCAACAGGCAACAGGAGUACAAGAGUGGAUACGACACGGCUGCUUAUCUGGGUCAGCCGGGGACAUACCAGGAAUGAUGGCGACAAAUAAGAUGGAAGCGUCCAGUAAAUGGCUUUUGGGGAUUAAAAACAGCGCAGCCGCCGGCGAUUGGAAGCGUGACACAACAUCCGCCUCCCCCCCUUGUGGUUUGGAGGAUGUAGCGAUAACGAGGACACAGCAGAUGGAAAAACACACUACGCCACAUCACGCUCCUUGGUGUGGCUUCCCAGGCGUCGGCGCCGUGACACAAGUUGUCAACUGAUCAGGGCGAGGCCAGCGAGGAAGGGUGGAAAAAAAACACGGGUUCAUCAAUAUUGCAGCAGCAAAGCUGGUGAAAGGCAACACCGAGCGACCAACAUAUUCCAUCAUGUCAUCGGGACGGCGGAUCGAAUGCCUCGGCCUGACAUGCCAACAUUGUUACCUGAACAAACCAUGAUGCAAAGGCGCUUUCAUUAUUCAUGCGCGGUUUCUUUGAGGAAAAACCCAAAUGAGCAAUUAUUAGUAACAAGUAGGUCAGACCCUGAACGUGAGGAAAGGCUGAAAACACAUAAAUAAUGCUACGGAUGAAGUUUAAUGCUAACUUCCUGAUGAGAAUUGAUUCUCAUUUGCAAUACUGACCUGGAUUAUAUUUCAUCAUGGCAUAUGAUGAAUAAAAUGUUCUUCAGACUUCAAACAUACAGAAUGGGGAAUGAAGAGGCUAACAAAACUGCUAGGUGUGUGUGGGUGAUGGUAUGCAUGGUGUUUUUUAGCUAAACAUAAAUUUGUUCUUUUUGAGUAUUAGCGUAUUGUUCGGAUUAUUUGGUGCAUCGUAUUAUUCGGCGUAGUAUCAAUUUUACUUUAGGUUCAUUUGAUAGCUUUAGCGCUGUUAUGCUAGGUUCAGACCUUGAAAUAUGCGGCGUGUUGCUUGCUUUUGUCACACUGGUCUCACAUUGGGAUUCUGGAAAGAAAGAUGCUCAACUUGCGUUGGGUUUAACCAGCAACCAUAGAAUUUGGCGAGUUCGACUACA
Long non-coding RNA from Syngnathus acus (greater pipefish), 1288 nucleotides. RefSeq lists it as uncharacterized. The record is from RefSeq and is a predicted model, not a curated record. The transcript is spliced from 3 exons. NCBI's taxonomy places the organism in Eukaryota, Metazoa, Chordata, Actinopteri, Syngnathiformes, Syngnathidae.